RNAcentral lists this ribosomal RNA (238 nucleotides) under Clostridioides difficile. RNAcentral describes it as "partial 23S ribosomal RNA". It matches the Rfam family "Bacterial large subunit ribosomal RNA", at positions 827 to 1065 of the family's 2925-position model. The record is from RNAcentral. Lineage: Bacteria; Bacillati; Bacillota; Clostridia; Peptostreptococcales; Peptostreptococcaceae.
UUCCAAUCGAGCCCGGAGAUAGCUGGUUCUCCCCGAAAUAGCUUUAGGGCUAGCCUCAAGGUGAGAGAUACGGAGGUAGAGCACUGAAUGUCCUAGGGGGGAUUGCACCUACCGAAGACUAUCAAACUCCGAAUGCCGUCAUCUUAUACUUGGGAGUCAGACUGUGGGGGAUAAGAUUCAUAGUCGAAAGGGCAACAGCCCAGAUCGUCAGCUAAGGUCCCUAAAUGUAAGUUAAGUG